Molecule: non-coding RNA, 8156 nt
Organism: Anas platyrhynchos (mallard)
Lineage: Eukaryota; Metazoa; Chordata; Aves; Anseriformes; Anatidae
Source: RefSeq, a predicted model, not a curated record
UUCAUACCUAGAGUGAAAAAAAAAAAAGAAAAAAAAAAGAUUUUACAUAACUUGUAAUAUAUAUUAAUAUAUAAAAAUAAACUCAUUAAAAUGGCUGGCAUAAGAAGAGAAAAAACUUGCAUGAAUUGUGAAAGGCAAAAACAAAAGCAUCUAUUUGCACUUGUAUGGGCAGUGUCAUGGAAAUUUGUGUCUCCAUGUCUUUCAGUAGUUUGAUUCAUUCCACUCUCCUGCAGAAUCUUGUCUGUGCGUUGUAUAGCUGCAUGUUUUCCAGGGGAACUUACUGAACAACUGAUGUUUGCAAAAUUGAGUCUUAUAUGGUGGUUAUGGAGAGGUAUAGAACGUGUUAUUCUGAGUAAGAAACUUCAGGAAUAUAGUACUGGACCUGACUGUCCUGAGACAACAGGAGUUUCAGUGUUGACUGAAGCGUGUUAGUAUCAGAAGCUCAUGAUUUGCUUCUGAGACAUGUUUUCUUAGUGGUAAUGCUAUUAAAGGAAAGCUUCUAAAAGAAGCAAGCUCCGAAGACUAACUGCUAUGCCAAACCAGGUAUGACAGAAAUCCUGAAGUUUGUACAGAGAAACCUAUGCAGAUCACACUUUAUAAAUAUGCAGGGUUUGAAUGUUUAGGUAAUAAUCUUUACAAGCAUUGUAACUUUCUAUAUUUUUAAAGCCAACAGGAUGUUUGUUUCUAUUAGUGAAUGGCAGUUCAGGCUUCUUGAAGUUUUUUGUUGUGUUUUAACACUGUUUCACUAAUCUCCAGUCAACAUGAACUCAACACUACUCAUGCUCUUACCAGUAAAUUCUGCUGUCAGAUAUCAUCGCAAGGACCGCCGCUACACUAAUUGUAUAUGCCAGGCAGUCUCUAAACAGCGGCCAACAGGAUAGCCUUGAAACCUGCAGAUCACAGAUUCAUUCACAUUUUUUUUAAAUUUGUCUGUAAUACUUUCACUAAGUGCUGUAAAUGCUGCAUCAAUAUGUUGUUUCUAUAUUAUGUACAAAUUUAAGAUUCUUAGGAAUGACUUAAGUAUGAUAUUUAACAAGUUAGUGUUUUUAAAACUUUCAUAGCAACUUAUCUUAAAACAGAUUACAUGCUGGUUUUGCUACUAAAUAAUAAACUUGACAGUUGUCAUAGUAAGUCUCUCUUGACUUUUGUUGGCAAAACAGAAAGGAUAACCAUUUGGUUCUUAGGUAUGGAAUUAUCGAAGUUGAUACAUACCACAUUAGAAAGCAGCCCACAAGCUGCACAAAUCCCAAGAAGAUUAUAGAUCGCUGAUCCAAGGAUGGUGCUAAUGCCAAUAUCUCCCUUUGUCACGAAGACUCCUACAAGCAAAAUGACUCGGGUAUGUUCCAGUUCAGCAGGCAAGGGAAGGCAGGAAGUAAUCAUCGCACACAAUGGACACGGCCAAGAACAUGUAAAGUAUAAUUAUGAAAUAGAUAACGAUUCCUCCAUCCUUUCUCUCCUGUGAUGUAAAAAAUCCCUCAGGAAACUCCGAUGAAGAGGAGAGGACACAGUUCGUCCUGUUUUCUGAAAAGCACCCCCUCUCCCUGCAUAUCUGAAGCAAAAAAAGAGCUUUUAUUUUGGUGAACACUGAAGCCUACUUAUUUUGCCAAGAAGUUGUGGGUGAGGUUGCUGUGCUCACACCCUCCUUGCAAAACACACCCCUGGAGAGAGCAACAAAUAGAGGGAAAAAAAAAAAAAGUCUUUCAGCAUGAGGAACCAUGUGCUACAGAUCUGCAUGCUUGACCCAGUGCAAAAAUACACACAGCCAGGCUGUGUUUUGGCCUCAGCAUGGCUGGCUGCCUGGUCUAGGCUAUUUCAGUCUGAGAGCCUUCUGCAAAGCUGAGAACAGAAGUGGAGGAUGAAGAUGUAACUGGCUGCCUGGACAACUACUGCAAUGGGAGGCUGUGCUAGAGCUGUUCAGAAGGUGUUUGACCUUUGGGUAUUUGAGGCUAUCCUACCUGCUUUCCAUCUGCUGCUCUGGAAUGGGUCCUGCUAGCCUCAUGUGAAUGUCCUGAGUACUCUGCAGGCCCAGUACGUAUCAAGGUACAUUGCUGUCUGUUGCCAGAGCACUUGUUCCCCAUUGGGUAAGCCAAGUGAUUCAUCCAUGGAAAACUGAAAACUCAUUUAUUUCUCCACCCAAAGCUGUGACACAGAUAUGUGUCAUGUGAGCCUGUAUGCACGCAGGUGGAUACUUCACGGCUAUCUGGAGACAGGGACUGUGCAAAGCCUGGAAAGCAGCAUGACCAACAAACACACAAUAGCUAGAUGGGACCCAGGAGCACAAUUAGUUGGCUCUGCUAAUGCCACGCUGGAAGAAUUUAACUAUCCCUUGCCGUGUCUGUGGCCUUUAAAUGGGGAUGCUGUUGGUGUUCUGCAAAGAGGUAAAAAAUAAAAAAUAAAUUGUAGGGUCCAAAGAUAGAUGUUUCUUGAGAAGUGAUGAUCUUGAUUAUGCUUUACAUGGCAGUCAAAACAGGAACAAAUGAUCGAGUGUUUUCUAAUGGCUUUGACAGGAGAUGGCAUCUGUUGAGGUCCAGGUGGAUUUAUUAGUGGAUUAAGCUUGUCUCCCUAGAGCUUGCAGCUAUCACGUGCUGCCUUAUUCUGUGUUCCCUACUGGAAUAUAUAAAAGUGCUGUGUGCAACUGGUAUUUAAUAAUUGUUAACAGUGUUAAGGAAAAUAUGUAGUUCUUACUUCCACGUUGAUGAUAGAUACACUUGUAUACAUACACUUAUACAUGUACAUUUUUAUGUAGGUAGAAUGUAUAUAGUGAAUAAUAAAAUAGGUGAUCGAGGAUUGGAUUCAGGUAUUGUAAAUACCUUACUUUAGUUUACUUCUUCUACAAUGAGUUUGAUGCACUAUAUAAUUAAACUAUUUCAUGAAAGAAAAUUUUAACUACAAAUCUGGCAAUGUUUAGUUCCUAAUCUCAAAGCUGCCACUACAGAUCCAGAUGCCUGGGAACCAUAUCCAGCUACAGACAAAUAUCAGGUGCAAGUAGAGUGGUUAUUAAUUAGCAGUUGUGCUUAUGAACAUUUGUAGAUAUUCAAUUUUUUUUUCCAUAGUACAACAACUAGACUGUUUAACUGCAUAGGAUGAAUGCAGAUAGCAAAGCUCUUUUGGGGGGUGGCAUGGUGUGUGUGUAGUUAUGUUUAGACAGCAAUAUGACCUACAAGCUGACCAGUGUGGAAAUACUGCUGUCAUCUGUGACAUGGAAUCUUAUACCACUUAUGUACGUUGGACGUAAAGGGAGCAUCUACCUUUAACCAAAGUGAUAGCUCCUGUGCGUUUGCAGCAGAAAGAACCAUGCUGUGUCAAGUUCUGGAGGGAUGUAAUCUACUCUUAAUAAAAUCCUUGAGUUUCUAGGUCGUUGCGGGUCUAGCAAUCUUUAUGUGAGUAAAUAAUGCUUACUGCCAUAAUACUUUGUUUGAAAGCAAAAUAAUCACAGCCAGAUAUUCUUAAAUAUUUUGUCCUCUGGUUAUCAGAUUGUAGGAUUUGACAUUAAAAUUGCACAUGUAGAACAGCUGAUGUUCAUCUGAGGUUUCUGGCUGGUUAAGGUACAUCUCUACCUCUGCACACCCAAAUAUGUAGUGAGGACAUUUGGAGAAAUUAAGAAUUUCCAGAAAGCAGUGUUUCAUCACAAUUAAUGUUUAUCUCCUCCUGGUGACAGUACUUUGGGAUAUCAAAAUGAAUGACAGAAAUGAAAGCAAAACAGCUGUUGUUUGACUGAUAGUGUUGAGCAUAAAUGUGAAAUAAUUUAGAAUGGGUAUCUGUGUAAGACUUUAUAUAUAGUAUUUUUGAUUUGUACAGUUUUUUAAUCCUUUUCCUCUGUUGACCUUGAAAGCACUGGUUGGUUAUUAGUAAAAUAUACACCUAUUUUCAGGGUUUAAAAUGGAAAUGGAGAUCUUGCAAUAAUUUGGCUAAAAGCUACCAGAGCAUUCAAGCAGCUGUCAGAAUUUUAGGAGAAACCAUAUUAAGCAAAACCAAGCUGUAGCUGUUUAAAUGAUAGCUAUGCUGACUGUAUUUAGAUACCUGGGUAGGUGGCACUUUGGCUGGCUUAAUUCAAUGGCUACAGAUAUGAAUUAUUAACAAAAUACAAUUUGGUGACAGCUUACACACUAUGGGCCAGAGACUCUUCUCAGUCCACAUGUGCAGCUUGUAUUAUAUCCAAAUUAGAUCCAUUUAUAAUUCUACUCUCCCUCUCCCCUUUCCCUAGCUCUCUCUCUCACACACACACUCUCACUCGCUAUUCUCUACAACCUGCAUUUGUGACUUAGUAAAGCCCUGAUGUUAGUCCAUCUAAUUACAUGUUUGGGAGAGCAUUGACACUAUCACCUUAUGGACUCCUUAUGAACAUAAGUGGCUGAUUGAAUACUCACAGCAGAAAUAGCAGCAGCAGUACUGUUACCUAAACCAUAACUGUAGUUUGUUUAAAUGGUGGGCUUUACCUUUGGAAGAAACAUUCAUCUUUUGAUCUGGAUGGCUAAGUGCUGUGAAUUCUUAGUCUGUCAGGGCAAUGGAUAUGUGCCAGAAUGUGCCCCAUACCCUUCCUGGGUCCUAAAGGUCAUUCAUUUUUAAGGCAGAAGCAGUCUGUAGUAUUGGUAUUCUAUAAUAUUCUGUUAGAAAAAUACUUUGUGGUGGAAAGUAAUUCUGAAUGGGAUGGAAAGACUAGAUUACCUGACAGAUCUUCCACUGAAGAUCAGUGAAAGUGGAUUCCAUGAGUGGUGGGUUGAUGCCAAAUGUUUCAAUCAUUGUUCAAGAACUGCUUUCCAGCUCUGCUCAGCUAGACAAGAUGAGGAAAAUGGGAACCAAGUAGGAAUUUUCUCACCCAGAUCUGUAAGCUGUUUUCAGCAUUGUUGAUGUACAAGCUGCUCUAGUUUUGUUCCAACGCAAUAUAGGUGUGUCAUGUUGAGAUGCAAUAUGACCUGCUGCUAUUGCCAGAGCAUUUUGGACUGUGGAUCAUGAACAGACAGAGCUAUUUAACGUCAGUUUCACUCCUGAAGAAAGCUUUCAUGGAUUUCAGGUUCCCUCCUGUCCUCUCUGUUUUCUUUUGCCAGUGAUUUGGGUUGCCUUAACUUUGAAAGCUGCCUCUGCAGUGAAUGUAUGGUCUGGUGACAGCUGAGUGCGGUGCUAUGGUGACCAGGAGCUCUCAGCGAGGCACCACAGGGCAGCUUUCAAAGCACACCCUGAUCUGCAAACCGAAGGAGCGAGCACAGGAUCCUGCAAGCAACCUCCCUCUCAAGCAAGCACCGAGUUAACUUAAUCCCACUCCACAAAACAGGUUGCUGCCUUCAGACUGGAGCCCCGCAAGGAAAGAGUACAGCGGUUGCCUCGCUCCCAGCAGCCAUCUUGCGGCCUGUCUGCAGGUGUGCCUGCUGAGCUGCAGCAGGGCCUGGGUGCCGGCACGGCACAAACUUCAUGUUCUGAAUGUUAACUUUAGUUACCAUAGCCAGACAAUGCUGCCAGUGGUGUGGAAGAAAAAAUUGCUGCAGCCAGCUGUGCUGUUCACAGUCGGAUGGUUUCUGUGUAGCUCCAAAUGGUUAUGGCUGUUGUGGCCAAGGACAGAAUGAUGGAUGACCUACACACAGUGUCCAAGCAGGGAGAAUCGCAGAAGUUCACUUUGGGGUUGUUAAAAUGCUAAUCUGGGUUAGUUAACAAAAGCCGAAUGGAAUAGAAAAGUUAGGGAAAUAAACACAACUCAUAUGUUAUAUAUGUGCACUACAGAUUUGAUCUCUGUGGUUACACAAACAUUUGACUUUGGAAGUGGGACAAUUCAACAGCCGUCCUGUUUGAAUAAACUGAAUCAACUUCUGAUAUUAGCUGUACUGUAAUUACUGUCAAACCACAACAAGGUAAAGUGGCCUAUGGCAGACAACACACAGAGCUGCAAACAGCAUCGGAAGAGCAAUAAUACGAUGUUUUACUGCACACCUCUUCCACGUGACAUGGGAACAAAUCAGAACCUACUUUCUUUUGAACUCCAGGCUGGCACCUAUUCACAGAACAAGUAACAACUUAAUAAAAUGGCUUAGAUGGAUUUUAACGGUAACUGCAGUAGCUUAUCUGAUCCAUAAGAAGAGAUCAUCUGUUCUAACAGCAGUUUUGAAGAAAGCAACAUUUGAACUGUUUUAAUUACACACAGAGCUGCUAAGACUGAAAAUAACUUAUACUACCCAAUGCAAAUAAUAUGCCUUCCAUCUUUUCUUAAUUACUCGUGAAGCAAAUUAUUACCUUACCCAAUGGAAAGACAUCUGAUUUCUCUUAACUGGAAUUAUAGGUAUGUUUAACACACAAAUAUGUAAUCAACCACCAUAUCCUUUAUUCAGUAAGCACUGCAAACACAUAGUGCAUUCUCUGAAAAAUACCACAGACUGAAACACAAGUAAGCCCAACAUAAGCUUAUGAGCACAGAAACUGUUCUUGUAACUGGUUCCUUUGUCUUGCAAAGAAAGAUCAUAACUGAAAUGGUCUCUGUCAUAGCACUCAUUUGACACUUGAUGAAAACUAGCCAUAUUCUCCAAGGAUUUCCACUUGAUUUCACUGCACUUGAUUUCACAUUUCUGUCUUUUUCUGAAGGAAGCAUAACCUAAGUAUUUCAAUGUUUUUGUACAGGUUCUGUCCAGCUAACCGGGCUUCACAUGACUUCAAGGGAUAUUGAAUGCUGUGUUAAGUGCAAUAGCAUUUUAAAAAAGAAUAACAGACAUAAUGAUUAAGAGCUGCAGCCUCUGUGUGACUGACUGUAGUAAAACCAGAAGAUGUUAUUACAAAUACUUAAUAUACGCUUUGAAGUGAGCUUCUAUGACGUACUUUCUUUACCUUCACGUAUCUUAUGACAGGACAGAUCAGACUGAAGACUGAUUUAGUCAGAAUUAAUUGCAUAUGUAAUUAAGCACUCUAUCUUAAUGUGUGCACUUCAUAAGUCUACAUCAAAGUUACUGCAGCUCCAAGGGCCGAAGUAUCAGCUCUAACAGUCGGCUCAGCUCAGCCACACAAAAGAGCUCCCCCCGCUCCAAAAGUUUCUGGGCUCCACACCUGAACGCGGCGGGCGGCAGAAGGCGAGCAGCACCCGGCGCAGGGACGCUCCCAACCCGGCUCCCGCCUGCCUCCUCAUUUAGAGAGAUGUAUAGAAACCUCAGGUUGUAUGCCUGUCAUCUUGAAGGUGUAGCGAUGAUUUUCUGCUAAGGCUGAUGGGCUGUGCAUCCUCAACUUGGCAACUUUACUCUGGUUCUGUGUUGUGUCAACAUUUGUAUAUGCUUCCAUGCCUGUCAUUUAUCUUUCUGGCUAGUAUAAGAAAUGGGUGCAUGCUGCUAUUCCAUGCCCACCCAUGAUCAUCAGACAUCAGUUUGUCUUGAGAAGCACACCAAACACCAUCUCUGUCUUGAAUAUUUAAGUGAUGAAUAUAAUAACUGCUCUUGGUUCUUACUGAGGCCAAAGUUGGAAUGAAAUCCAAUCUGCUGGCUCUCCAAUUCCACCAUCUCCUCUAGGGAGGCAGAGGAGAAGUGCCAGUAAUUAAUAAAAAUAAUUGGAAAACAUAAUUUUUUUAAUGCUUUGGAAGCACUGCAUGGGUCAGCCAGUGGGGCUCGUGGGGGAUCCUGCAGAGAUGAAGCCAAGUCAGGAAAGGUCAAAAAUUCCUCCCUGCUGAGGCCAUGGGACUGGAAGCCUCAGCAAAGAAAAGCCAUAGCCACAAUGUUUGUAAUGUCUUGUCCUGUGUAUUUUACUACUUGAAAUGUGCUUAUAGUGAAAUCUGGAUGACUGUAUGUCAAAGCUAAUAAAAGGGAUUCAAGCAGUGAACAUAACCGGGCACAGUCUUGCUGUAAAACUGGUCUUUCCUGCCUGCAAGCUCUCUAUCCACCUUAACUUUGAAAAGCAAGCUCUUUCAGGCCAACAAUUCUGGCCAUGGCACUUUCCUGCAAGGGUGAAGUGUGAUUAAUUCCUGGCCCUUGCUAAAGGAUAACUUUUAGGAAAAAAUAAAAAUCCCUGACAGGGUGGGGCAUUACAGGGCAGAGGGCUGGGAGUGGAAAAGCCCAGGAUGGGGGCAUUGCCACGGUGCCAUUUGGGGCCAGGUGCAGAGUGGUAUGUGCUGCAAACAUCCCCAAAUGUCUACAGCAACCACUGAAAGCAAGAAAACUCCAUUUUCUGUACAGUGAUUAGCUUUUCAGUUAGGUAUA